This 433-nucleotide ribosomal RNA is filed under the name uncultured bacterium. Its description in RNAcentral is "partial 16S ribosomal RNA". It matches the Rfam family "Bacterial small subunit ribosomal RNA", at positions 29 to 507 of the family's 1533-position model. The record is from RNAcentral.
AACGAACGCUGGCGGCAUGCCUAACACAUGCAAGUCGAACGAGACCUUCGGGUCUAGUGGCGCACGGGUGCGUAACGCGUGGGAACCUGCCUUUAGGUUGGGAAUAAUUCAGAGAAAUUUGGGCUAAUACAGGAUAAUGUAUUCGAACAAAGGAUUUAUCGCCUUUAGAUGGGCCGGGGUUGGUUUAGCUAGUUGGUGGGGUAAAGGCCUACCAAGGCGACGAUCCAUAGCUGGUCUGAGAGGAUGAUCAGCCACACUGGGACUGAGACACGGCCCAGACUCCUACGGGAGGCAGCAGUGGGGAAUAUUGGACAAUGGGCGAAAGCCUGAUCCAGCAAUGCCGCGUGAGUGAUGAAGGCCUUAGGGUUGUAAAGCUCUUUUACCCGAGAUGAUAAUGACAGUAUCGGGAGAAUAAGCUCCGGCUAACUCCGUG